This 337-nucleotide long non-coding RNA is filed under the name Gallus gallus (chicken). Its description in RNAcentral is "lncRNA (ENSGALG00010009401.1)". Lineage: Eukaryota; Metazoa; Chordata; Aves; Galliformes; Phasianidae. The record is from RNAcentral.
AGCGUUGCAGGGCUGUUUGCAGUUCUGAAUGGCCAGAAUUGUCCCAUGUGCUGGCCGAAGUUCUGGUCCUGAAGCACGAUGUUUCUCAGCUGGCAAUCUAGGUCACCUGGAUGUUUGUAAGGCUUAUGUCAUUCUUUGCCAUGAACGCAGAAGACAUAAAAAGAUGUUUGUCUCUUUGUCUGUUCUGCAUUUAUCCUGGAAAAGAGAUUGGAGAACUCGCAAAAUUAUUCCUUCCAAUUUCUGACAUGAACUAUGAAGAAAGCUGUAUCUGCUCAAGAUCCCAUGCCGCAGAUUUAUGUAGCUGAAACUGCUGAAAACUCACUGCUAAAACAAAGAG